CCUACGGGAGGCGCAGUGGGGAAUUUUGGACAAUGGGCGCAAGCCUGAUCCAGCAAUGCCGCGUGAGUGAAGAAGGCCUUCGGGUUGUAAAGCUCUUUUGUCAGGGAAGAAACGGCUGAGGCUAAUAUCCUCGGCUAAUGACGGUACCUGAAGAAUAAGCACCGGCUAACUACGUGCCAGCAGCCGCGGUAAUACGUAGGGUGCAAGCGUUAAUCGGAAUUACUGGGCGUAAAGCGUGCGCAGGCGGUUUUGUAAGUCUGUCGUGAAAGCCCCGGGCUUAACCUGGGAAUUGCGAUGGAGACUGCAAGGCUUGAAUCUGGCAGAGGGGGGUAGAAUUCCACGUGUAGCAGUGAAAUGCGUAGAGAUGUGGAGGAACACCGAUGGCGAAGGCAGCCCCCUGGGUCAAGAUUGACGCUCAUGCACGAAAGCGUGGGGAGCAAACAGGAUUAGAUACCCUGGUAGUCCACGCCCUAAACGAUGUCUACUAGUUGUCGGGUCUUAAUUGACUUGGUAACGCAGCUAACGCGUGAAGUAGACCGCCUGGGGAUACGGUCGCAAGNUUAAAACGUCAAAGGAUUGACGGCUGAGAGNGCGAGACGACGACGAGGAGAGG
This 613-nucleotide ribosomal RNA is filed under the name uncultured bacterium. RNAcentral describes it as "bacterial SSU rRNA". It matches the Rfam family "Bacterial small subunit ribosomal RNA", at positions 338 to 946 of the family's 1533-position model. The record is from RNAcentral.